GUUACCGCUGUCGGUGUCGGUUUCCGAAAGGAAAUAACAGGGAAUUCGCAGGCGACCUCGGUCGUCAAACGAAACUGCCCCCGCAACUGUAGGCGGCGAGUACUCCCCCAAAAAUCCACUGGAUCGGUUGAUCUGGGAAGGAAGGGGUGUGCAGCGACCCGUCAGUCAGGAGACCUACCGACACGCUUGAACGUUAA
RNAcentral lists this non-coding RNA (197 nucleotides) under Rhizobium sp. EC-SD404. Lineage: Bacteria; Pseudomonadati; Pseudomonadota; Alphaproteobacteria; Hyphomicrobiales; Rhizobiaceae. The record is from RNAcentral.